Molecule: ribosomal RNA, 305 nt
Filed under: uncultured bacterium
Lineage: Bacteria
Description: bacterial SSU rRNA
Rfam family: Bacterial small subunit ribosomal RNA
Source: RNAcentral
CCUACGGGGGGCAGCAGCCGCGGUAAUACGUAGGUGGCAAGCGUUGUCCGGAUUUACUGGGUGUAAAGGGCGUGCAGCCGGAGAGACAAGUCAGAUGUGAAAUCCGCAGGCUCAACCUGCGAACUGCAUUUGAAACUGUUUCCCUUGAGUAUCGGAGAGGUCAUCGGAAUUCCUAGUGUAGCGGUGAAAUGCGUAGAUAUUAGGAAGAACACCAGUGGCGAAGGCGGAUGACUGGACGACAACUGACGGUGAGGCGCGAAAGCGUGGGGAGCAAACAGGAUUAGAAACCCGUGUAGUCCCAGAUC